UUUAUUUCAUUUGGGCAGAGAGCAAAAUGCAAAAUCUAAAUAUCUAUACUCAAUGUUAUGUUGGUUAGAGUGUCCUGGGCUAUUGGGGGCCUGCAGGCUUGUUCGGCGAUUUGCAAUUGGCUGCUGUCGAAUUGAAAUUGAAGUGUGUACUUCACAUACCAAGCAGACGACUCCUCGACAACUAUCAAGCGCACGGGAUUUUUUGUUGUGGUCAGUUAAUUGUGUUGUGCGGCCUCUACCCAUUCUCUCCACUCUCACAUGGAACAUCAUUUUUGUAAGCAUAAACUUUUUCAGAAUUUAUAUGUUUAAAAACAGACUAUGGCGACUGCGCUAGGAGAAAAAUAUGUUUCACGAAAAGAUCACUUUUGAAAUAUAUAAAAGACCUGAAGUAGAGUUAAUUAGAGUCGAGCGAUU
Molecule: long non-coding RNA, 414 nt
Organism: Drosophila willistoni
Lineage: Eukaryota; Metazoa; Arthropoda; Insecta; Diptera; Drosophilidae
Exons: 4
Source: RefSeq, a predicted model, not a curated record